This 1487-nucleotide long non-coding RNA is filed under the name Marmota monax (woodchuck). The record is from RNAcentral. Lineage: Eukaryota; Metazoa; Chordata; Mammalia; Rodentia; Sciuridae.
CUUGAGGCCCUAACUCCUAAUGUGAUGAUGUUUGUGGGUGGGGCCCUCAUGGAUGGUGUUAGUGCCCUAUGAGAUUGGCCCCAGAGACCUGCCUUGUCCUUUCCACAUUAGGGACUCAGGGAGAAUGUAGCUGUCUGCAAACCAGGAAGAGAGUCCCCACCAGACCCUGAACCUGCAGGCGCUUGGUCUUGGAUUUCCAGCUUCCAACCUGUGAGAAAUGCAUUUCUGUUGUUUAUAAGUCCUUGUUUCAGGGUAUUUUGUUUAGCAGCCUGAACUGAAGUGGACAGACAUCCCAACUUAGCAUGUGCUGCAGGCUGAGUCCUCCUGCCUAACCUCCCUGGCUUCCCUCUCUCCCUUGCUACCUGCACCUCGGGCUGCAGCCUGCGCCUCUUCCCUCACGGCCAUCACUCUCAACAAAUCUCGCACAUGUGACCCUGCCUUGACUCAUGACUCUCAGAGAACCAGAAUGGCCAUGAUGACACCCAAGUAACAGGAGGAGGAAGGGGAAAAAAGGGGUGCUGUCAACUUUGCUGUAGACAUUUUGGGGGUCUGCCCUCCCCAAGUCCACUCCUUUUUCCUUCGAUAACAUCAUAGGCUGUAUCUCUAGCACAUGGCUAGAAUUUUCUGGCCAAAUAUCUUUGGAAUACUAAUGAAUAUCUGUCCUAAGUUGGACCCAAAUUUUCUCCCAGGAUCUUGAGUGUGGGGAAACCUAGAGGUAGUGGACCCCUCCUGUAGGCCCCCCACAUGCCCAGUGGACUGGCUAGAGGCCUUUUAUACUGUAUGCUCCUAUUGGCUCUUGAACCUCCUCCCUUUUCUGAGUUUUAUGAAGUGCCUGUUACAUGUCAGGUACUAGUCUAUGUGUUAGGACUACAUCAGUAUUUCUGUCCUUAAAGAGCUUCCCUUCCAGUGACUGAGAAAGAUGGUACAAAAGACAUAUCAAUCCAGCGGCUCAGGAGGAAGUAGGAGAAUCCCAAGUUCAAGGCCAGCCCUGGCAACUUAGAGAGACCAUGUCUCAAAAUAAAAAAAAAUAAAGAGCUGGGGAUGUAGCUCAGAGUAAAGUGCCCCUGAUUUCAAUCCCCAGUACUGUUAAAUAAGUAAAUAAAUAAAAAUGAGUAAAUUAGCCAGGUGCGGUGGUAUAUACUUGUAAUACCGGUGGCUCAGGAGGAUGAGGUAGAGCCUGUGAGUUCAAAGUCAGCCUCAGCAACAUGGUGAGACCCUCUCUCAAAAUAAAAAAAUAUAAAAAGGACUGGGGAUGUGGCCCAGUGGUUUAGAUCCCUGGGUUUAAUCUUUGGGAUACAUACAUAGAGAGAGACACACACACGUAUGAGGAGUGCUAUGGAAAAGCCAAAGUGGAGCAGGGCGAGAGGUGGGCAGUGGCAGGGUGCCAUCUGCACAGUAACAGGGUGUCCUGGUGGAGCCUCACUAAGAAAUGAGAUUUUGGCCAAGGUUGGAAGAAGGUGAGGGAAUUGGUAGCGAGAUGAUGUGAG